GACGAACGCUGGCGGCGUGCUUAACACAUGCAAGUCGAACGGAAAGGCCCUGCUUUUGUGGGGUGCUCGAGUGGCGAACGGGUGUGUAACACGUGUGUAACCUGCCCUUGACUUUGGGAUAACUUCAGGAAACUGGGGCUAAUACCGGAUAGGAGCUCCCGCUGCAUGGGGGGGGUUGGAAAGUUUCGGCGGUUGGGGAUGGACUCGCGGCUUAUCAGCUUGUUGGUGGGGUAGUGGCUUACCAAGGCUUUGACGGGUCGCCGGCCUGAGAGGGUGACCGGCCACAUGGGGACGGGGAUACGGCCCAGACUCCUACGGGAGGCAGCAGUGGGGAAUAUUGCACAAGGGGCGGAAGCCUGAUGCAGCAACGCCGCGUGCGGGAUGACGGCCUUCGGGUGGUAAACCGCUUUCGCCUGUGACGAAGCGUGAGUGACGGUAAUGGGGAAAGAAGCACCGGCUAACUACGU
Molecule: ribosomal RNA, 467 nt
Filed under: uncultured bacterium
Lineage: Bacteria
Description: partial 16S ribosomal RNA
Rfam family: Bacterial small subunit ribosomal RNA
Source: RNAcentral